RNAcentral lists this unclassified non-coding RNA (248 nucleotides) under uncultured fungus. RNAcentral describes it as "partial internal transcribed spacer 2". The record is from RNAcentral. Lineage: Eukaryota; Fungi.
AACGCACAUUGCGCCCCCCGGCCCCCGGGGGGCACGCCCGUCCGAGCGCCAUCGUCAGACCUCGAGCCGCGGGCUCGCCGUCGGGCGCCGCCGUCCCCCGGGGCGGCGCGCCCGAGAACGCCGGCGCCCCCGCGGGCCCCCGACGCACCGAGCCCCCGUGGCCCGCGCCGGAGGACCCGCGGGCGGCGGCCGCCACCGCACCACCGAAAGACGGCCUCGGAUCGGGCGGGGUUACCCGCUGAACUUAA